UCACUAGCUGAGUGGAUAACGCGGUGGCGUUUGAAGCGAAAGACACUGGGUUCGAGUCCCAGAGUAA
Molecule: transfer RNA, 67 nt
Filed under: Schistosoma mansoni
Lineage: Eukaryota; Metazoa; Platyhelminthes; Trematoda; Strigeidida; Schistosomatidae
Source: RNAcentral